CCUCGGAUGAGGAGCAACAAGCGAUAGCGGAGAAGAUCGAAAGCCUGCCUGCGGAGGAGCGGAAGGCCAAGGCCACGGCCGUCAGCAGCGGCCGCCUUCUCACUCAAGAAGACUUCCAGAAAAUCCGGCUGGCUCAGCUGAGCAAGGAACUCAAAUCUGCGCCUGGCAAGGCAGCCAAGAGGAAGAACGUAGAAAUAGACAGUGAAGAAGAAUCGAGGGGGGAGCUGCUCUCACUUAGAGACAUCGAACACCUCCAUAAAAAGCCUCGGUCUGAUAAAGAGACAAGAUUAGCCACCG
Molecule: long non-coding RNA, 297 nt
Organism: Protobothrops mucrosquamatus (brown spotted pit viper)
Lineage: Eukaryota; Metazoa; Chordata; Lepidosauria; Squamata; Viperidae
Exons: 3
Source: RefSeq, a predicted model, not a curated record